RNAcentral lists this ribosomal RNA (473 nucleotides) under uncultured bacterium. RNAcentral describes it as "bacterial SSU rRNA". It matches the Rfam family "Bacterial small subunit ribosomal RNA", at positions 335 to 800 of the family's 1533-position model. The record is from RNAcentral.
ACUCCUACGGGAGGCAGCAGUGGGGAAUAUUGCACAAUGGGCGCAAGCCUGAUGCAGCCAUGCCGCGUGUGUGAAGAAGGCCUUCGGGUUGUAAAGCACUUUCAGUUGUGAGGAAGGUGGUGUCGUUAAUAGCGGCAUUAUUUGACGUUAGCAACAGAAGAAGCACCGGCUAACUCCGUGCCAGCAGCCGCGGUAAUACGGAGGGUGCGAGCGUUAAUCGGAAUUACUGGGCGUAAAGCGUACGCAGGCGGUUUGUUAAGCGAGAUGUGAAAGCCCCGGGCUCAACCUGGGAACUGCAUUUCGAACUGGCAAACUAGAGUGUGAUAGAGGGUGGUAGAAUUUCAGGUGUAGCGGUGAAAUGCGUAGAGAUCUGAAGGAAUACCGAUGGCGAAGGCAGCCACCUGGGUCAACACUGACGCUCAUGUACGAAAGCGUGGGGAGCAAAACGGGAUUAGAUACCCUGGUAGCGAGUA